UACGGGGGGGGCAAGCGUUGUUCGGAAUUACUGGGCGUAAAGGGCUCGUAGGCGGCCAACUAAGUCAGACGUGAAAUCCCUCGGCUUAACCGAGGAACUGCGUCUGAUACUGGAUGGCUUGAAUCCGGGAGAGGGAUGUGGAAUUCCAGGUGUAGCGGUGAAAUGCGUAGAUAUCUGGAGGAACACCGGUGGCGAAGGCGGCAUCCUGGACCGGCAUUGACGCUGAGGAGCGAAAGCGUGGGGAGCGAACAGG
This 253-nucleotide ribosomal RNA is filed under the name uncultured bacterium. Its description in RNAcentral is "partial 16S ribosomal RNA". It matches the Rfam family "Bacterial small subunit ribosomal RNA", at positions 524 to 776 of the family's 1533-position model. The record is from RNAcentral.